UACGAAGGGGGCUAGCGUUGCUCGGAAUCACUGGGCGUAAAGGGUGCGUAGGCGGGUCUUUAAGUCAGGGUGAAAUCCUGGAGCUCAACUCCAGAACUGCCUUUGAUACUGAAGAUCUUGAGUUCGGGAGAGGUGAGUGGAACUGCGAGUGUAGAGGUGAAAUUCGUAGAUAUUCGCAAGAACACCAGUGGCGAAGGCGGCUCACUGGCCCGAUACUGACGCUGAGGCACGAAAGCGUGGGAGCAAACAGGG
This 252-nucleotide ribosomal RNA is filed under the name uncultured bacterium. Its description in RNAcentral is "partial 16S ribosomal RNA". It matches the Rfam family "Bacterial small subunit ribosomal RNA", at positions 524 to 777 of the family's 1533-position model. The record is from RNAcentral.